Molecule: long non-coding RNA, 288 nt
Filed under: Bos taurus (domestic cattle)
Lineage: Eukaryota; Metazoa; Chordata; Mammalia; Artiodactyla; Bovidae
Description: long non-coding RNA NONBTAT009240
Source: RNAcentral
AUGUACAGCAAUUUGCCCCUUAAAUGUAUAAUCAUCUCAAUUCAUCCUUCCAUCAGCACCAAGCUUCCUUAUUUAGCAUUAUACUGAAUAUUUGAGAACUAAAGUGGGGCUGAGGGUGCUUUUUCAAUUCCCCCCUCUCCCUGAAAUUUUCAUGGCAGUUCUCACCUGUUUGGAAAAGACGGGUAGAGGGAACUCCAUAUCCUUGAAGUUAAAGCAAAUCUAACCUUUUCCUCAGACUCUAUAGUCCCUUACUCCUGUCUUCCUGAACUCUUUUGUUCCAGAGGGCAA